This 253-nucleotide ribosomal RNA is filed under the name uncultured bacterium. Its description in RNAcentral is "partial 16S ribosomal RNA". It matches the Rfam family "Bacterial small subunit ribosomal RNA", at positions 524 to 776 of the family's 1533-position model. The record is from RNAcentral.
UACGUAGGGCGCAAGCGUUGUCCGGAAUUAUUGGGCGUAAAGAGCUCGUAGGCGGCUUGUCACGUCGGGUGUGAAAGCCCGGGACUUAACCCCGGGUCUGCAUUCGAUACGGGCUAGCUAGAGUGUGGUAGGGGAGAUCGGAAUUCCUGGUGUAGCGGUGAAAUGCGCAGAUAUCAGGAGGAACACCGGUGGCGAAGGCGGAUCUCUGGGCCAUUACUGACGCUGAGGAGCGAAAGCGUGGGGAGCGAACAGG